UAGAUCUCAAAUCAGGUAGGACUACCC
This 27-nucleotide ribosomal RNA is filed under the name Rhodotorula glutinis. RNAcentral's name for it is "partial 26S rRNA". Lineage: Eukaryota; Fungi; Basidiomycota; Microbotryomycetes; Sporidiobolales; Sporidiobolaceae. The record is from RNAcentral. RNAcentral also lists the same sequence under 3 other names.